GGGACCGUCACGGGAAGGGCGGGGCUCCGGAAACCCGAGCCUCGGGCAGAGACCGUCUGCUGGGCGGAGGGCGGCGGGGGUCUGGGCCGCAAGUGCGGGACGCUGCUCAGUGAGAGUCCGGAGGCGCACGCAGGCUUCCCGGCAGCACCGAGCCUGACUCUUCUCUUCCCCUCGAGUCUUAUUCCAAGUCCCCUUUGCACUGACCCUCAGUGACCUUGGGGAAGAGCUCCGGGACUAUUUUCACGUGUGUGCAUGGAGGGGUCAAAGGCAUGGGAAUUACGACCCUCAAUCCAUCGGGCAGGAAAUCGGAGCUCAGAGGGAAGUGGCCUCCAAGUGAGCAGCGGCCCGGAAGGAAGACAGAAAGCAUCUACCGAAGAGUUAUCCUCAGAACCAUCCAGCCACCAAGUCUGAAACAACUGACUCUAAUAUGGGGCCUCCAUUUUCUUUCCCUUCAUGUUCUUGGCCAUAUUCUCAGUAUCUUCAACCCAACCUUUGAAAACAAGUGUUUUUAAACUACAAAAGGGUCCGGAGUCUGCACUUACUGUAGAGGGAGGAAACGAAGCUAACAUUCAAAGGGGACAAAAGGAAUCGACUAAGCCGGGAGAUAGCAACAUGCAAGGACGACCAGGGCAUCCUAACCAGCCGGGAGAACCGGGGGAUUCCAGUCAGCCCGGGGGUCUGCAAGGGAAUCAGGAGGGUCUAGUGAGCAAGGGAGGCAGGAUCUUCUGGCCACCAAGGAGAACCAGGAUUGUCUAGGCAACAACAGAGAUCAAGACCUUUUUACACUCAACAAGAAAGAAAAACUGUAGACAACCCUUUGAAUCACAAUCUAAAGGAGAUUCAGGGAUGCUAACCCUGUCCAUUUCACAGAGUAUGUGUGAGUGAAAGUAAUGGAUUGGUGUGAAAAGCACGGUUACCUAGAACCAGUGGAGAAGACCAAGAGACCUGUUCAUCCUCCUCGGUUCUACGAGCGCUGAGCCCUCUGUCGAAGGUCCUCACCCUCCCAUGUAGUGUCUCUGUCCUCAUCUGCUAGUCAAAGCUUCUUUAUGCGCACAGGCUUUUGUCAUUCUAUAACUUGAUUCUGAGAAAAUGCUUCAAGUACUUACUACUCAGCUGAACUCUGCAAAAUUCUACCUCCUGAUUCAUUUUCUUUCAUGGAAUAUGAAAGGCUCAAAAAAUUAUGGCCAUUUGUGUUUUGUAUUUGUACGCGUGACUUCUCCUGAAUUAUUGCUUCCUCAGGUGGGGAAAGGCUUGUCUACAGAGUUAAAGUGGCAGCAGUCUGGCAUGUAGUCAGAGCAGGGGCCCCAGCGUCAGGUAACUCAGGGUCUGGAUCCCAGCGUGAGUAUUGAAUCCUCACAUUGUGGGCUUGUCACUUAAAUGCCUUGUGUGCCUGAGACUAUACAAUAGGGCACAAUAUACUUUCCUUUCAGUAUUGUUGCAUGGAUUAAAUAAAAAUACAAAGGACCAGCAAAAUGAAAGAUUUAACACAAUGCUUAAUCAAUAAUUAAUUUUAUUACAAUAUCAGAAUUAAAUUAAGUUCCCUAUACUCACCUAAUGGUCUUAAACAUUACUGUAGACUGGCAGUACCGGCAACGAGAACCCAACUGGACAUAUAAACUGUCAGUCAGCCUACCAGCCAGUCUGUGGCUCUGAUGGGAAGGCCUGUGGUGACCACUGCCUCUUCAAUGAAGCAAAGAGUUAAGAGGAUGUUAAUGUUUUAUUGUAUCAGGAAGUGCUAUUCUUAUCCAGAGGGAGUAAUAGAACAUAUUUCUCUGUGUCUCUAGUUUUCUCUCAAAUGUGCCUUUGGUGUUUGUCCAAAGGAAACAUAACAGGAUAUUUAGCACUUGAAUAGUAAACUCGUUUUCUGAGAAAAUGUGAUACAUUCAGCUUUUAAGUAGGAAUAAAUGUAUUAUUGAGUCAUUCAUCUGCCAGUAUUUAUUAAACACCCACUAUGUGCCAGGAAUUGCUCUAAGCACUAGAGGUAAGGUGGUGAGCAAAGCAUAUCGAAUCUCCUGCCUCCUGCUUCCAUGGAGCUGUCAUUUUGCAGAAGACAGCAAACAACCAAAAUAUAUUAAAGAAUGAAGAGCAUUAUGAAUCCCAUGGAUUACUUAGUGUUGACCACUAAAAUAUAUUUUAAACUUGAAUAACAAUAUUAAAAGUUGGAUCUGAUGAGCCAUUCAAACAACUCUCUAUAUAAAUAAUAAGAUGAUUAGAAGGCUUUUUAAAAUUAGAUCACAUGGCAAAAAAAGAGAUAUCUCAGCUUUUAAAAUUAAUAAAUGUUUAUCUAUGAAGGUAGGAAUAAAGUGAAAAGUAUACCUUUCUCAUUUUUAAUAGUUCCAAAUUUUAUUGAGUGCUUGGUGAAUUGUUAUUGCAGAAAUAAAUGUUAAGGUAAGUGUCCCCUAUGGUCUAAAAGUUAGACUCGGAAGGGACUCUGGACACCCAUUCUCUCAUUUUAUAGAUGAGAUGCAAGGGCAAGAAAGGUCUGUACAAGUGCACGAAUUCUCCGAGUAGUCAAGGUGACCCAGGCGAGCCAGAGCUGAGACCUGCCUUUUCUCAUGUGAUUGUUAAGUAAUCACAUUGUCUCUCUAUGGCGGUAAUACAAUUACUUGACCCUUGACUUUUCUCAUUAUCUUAUUUUCAGGUUGAGUAAUAGAAAACAGAAUCUGAACUAUAAAGGGAAAUGCUAAGUAUUUAGAGGAACCAAAUUACUUGGAAUCUCAAAAUCUACGUUCAAGUCUUUUUCACAAUGGAUUUGCCUGGGAGCUCCACCGAGGUCAGCAUGAGUUCUGUAGCUAUGAUGGAUCCGGCAUUAUUGUCAAGUUUGUUCCACUGCUAAUAAAGUCAGUUCUAGACUUG
Long non-coding RNA from Manis pentadactyla (Chinese pangolin), 2856 nucleotides. RefSeq lists it as uncharacterized. The transcript has 5 exons. The record is from RefSeq and is a predicted model, not a curated record. Lineage: Eukaryota; Metazoa; Chordata; Mammalia; Pholidota; Manidae.